AUGAGCCUUCGCUAUGACCCGCAGGUCAUGGUUCAAUACAUUGAGGCUCUCGAUCUCACUGUCCAAGCUCUUAUUGCCGAGCUGUACGCCACUUGUACUCGUCUCUACAACGCUCUGACACAGUUGCUGCUAGCAGCCAGCGCAAGGAUACAACCAGAGUACAUCCUUUACCCGCGCAGGACAGAGCUGCCACCAGGUCUUGAGUGGUCUGCUAUUGGAGGUAGUACUCCUUCGCGUGGAACUCUUCUUCCAAUCCGGGACCAGGUUCUGGACCAGAGUGUUCAGGGAGCACAGGCUCCUCAUAUCGAGGGUAAUCUGCUUCAUUGUCACCUGUAG
Molecule: ribosomal RNA, 336 nt
Filed under: Triticum aestivum (bread wheat)
Lineage: Eukaryota; Viridiplantae; Streptophyta; Magnoliopsida; Poales; Poaceae
Description: partial small subunit ribosomal RNA
Source: RNAcentral